AAAAAAAGAAUUGAUUGAAUACUUUCUAGGUAUGUAUAUGGAAAUAUUAUUAUACAUGUAUGAGUCAGACACCAUACUUUACAAUUACCAAAGUAUCUAUGAUUAUAGUGUUUGAGAGAAACAAUGGGUUGAAUCUAAACUGUAUUUUUAUUGUGAUGAUUAAUGAUAAUGAUAUAAAAAAGUAUCUAACUGUAUUUUUAAUAGACUACAAUGCAGGAA
RNAcentral lists this long non-coding RNA (219 nucleotides) under Trifolium pratense (red clover). RNAcentral's name for it is "long non-coding RNA (TPRA_LNC010869)". Lineage: Eukaryota; Viridiplantae; Streptophyta; Magnoliopsida; Fabales; Fabaceae. The record is from RNAcentral.